UACGUAGGGAGCGAGCGUUGUCCGGAUUUACUGGGUGUAAAGGGUGCGUAGGCGGGUCGGCAAGUCAGAUGUGAAAUACCGGGGCUUAACUCCGGGGCUGCAUUUGAAACUGUUGAUCUUGAGUGAAGUAGAGGCAGGCGGAAUUCCUAGUGUAGCGGUGAAAUGCGUAGAUAUUAGGAGGAACACCAGUGGCGAAGGCGGCCUGCUGGGCUUUAACUGACGCUGAGGCACGAAAGCAUGGGGAGCAAACAGG
RNAcentral lists this ribosomal RNA (253 nucleotides) under uncultured bacterium. RNAcentral describes it as "partial 16S ribosomal RNA". It matches the Rfam family "Bacterial small subunit ribosomal RNA", at positions 524 to 776 of the family's 1533-position model. The record is from RNAcentral.